AGUUCUGUUCUCAAUCAACACAAGAACAACGUUGUUGUUUACGCACUAACGAUCGGAACGAAAGCUCUCUCUCUCUCCCUCGAUCUCGCUCUCUUCUUCUUUGUCAAGCUCUACUUUACAAUCUCUCGUUCUCCCUCUCCCUCUCACUUUUCUCAUUGUUACUUUUUUUAGUUUUACUCUUUGGUUUGUCUAUGUGGCUAUUUUGUGGUUCUUUGAUUCUUUUUUUAGGUUUUUCUGUCCGUGAUGGAUUCCCCGCCAGGUACUCCGAUUUCAUCACUCUCUCAUACGGUGGCCACUCCGUCACUUCCGUCGGCACCGAAAGAGAAACCCCAACAGUCUAUGGCAAGGUUUAUUCAGCACUCUUUAGAUGAUAUUACCGAAAUGGUUCAGGAAAUUAUUCUAAGGCCUGAGUACAGCCAAGAAGCAUUGAAUUCUGAGAGAGAAAGAAAAAUGCGCAUUUUGAUGUCACUGCGAUAGUCAUUCAUUGCUUGCGUGAGUAUGAUUCUUGUGUUGGUUGGUAACUUGGUAUGAUUCUCUGUUCCUUUAUUCCUUUCAAUUUAUAUUUGGUAAGAAUCUAAGUGUAUAGAUUUAUAUACGUUUUUAUGCCAAAAUAUAAAAUAUGCCUUCGAUCUUGAUUUUUAUGCUAAAGAAAGUACCUAUUUUAUAUUAUGAAUCUAUGAUGAAUGAUGAUACUUCUAUAGACGGAUAUGUGUUAGGUAACAAUUUAUCUGUUUCAAUUGUUUAUGAUUCUUAUUCUAAAAUCUAUAAUAAGUCUCCUAAAGUUAGUCCUCUUUAUCUUUUUAUCUUAAUAUUGUUUAUGUUAUGUCAAUGCCACUCUUGUAACUAUUCGAAUAUUUGAGUACUCACUACCAACAUGUUCUAAUACCCUCUCAUUCACUAUCUAAGGUAUGUUCUUUUCUUUGCCAAAACUAUUUUGAAUCUAUUACUAACUUGAUCGUUGGAGUCUUUGCAGGUACCACACCCAUUGCUCAUGAGCAGGAACAACUUUGGCAACAACAAUUGGUCAAUCUAAUCUACUUCAUAUUUGGACAAUCAUUCUAGAAAUGAACAUGUAAGUAGUAUCUUAAUUACUGCAUCUCUUCUAUGUGGAAAAAGGUGAGAAAUUUAUGUGAUUCAAUUGUUUAUGACUCUCAUUCUAGAAUCAAUCAAUCUCUUAAAAUUAGUCCUCUUUUUCUUUUAUCUUGAUAUUGUUUAUGUUCUGUCAUGCCCCCUUCUGGUAACAAUUUAUAUCUGCAUAAUGGAUCACACAUUUUAUUGCGAUGUCGGUGGCAUGUCCCUGUCCUUCUCAACCUCCAAGUGUCGUUUGUGUGCUCGAUGUUGAAAUCGGCCUACAUUCAAGAGAUGAUAAGGCAAUAGUAUAUAAUUGAAACCAAGAGAUCUCUAUUCAACACAUGUCCAGUGCUUCCUCUACUUACAUCAAGUGGCCAUUUUACUUCCUCUGGUUCACAAUAUGUCUAGAUUGAUGUGCAACUUUGAAGUUCUAGGAUGUCAGAUUAUUUCCUUUCUUUGUAGUGUUACAAUAUUGUUUCAUUUGGCCUAUUGUUUUAAUCUUGACCUUAAUUUGUAUAAACUUCAGUUUCCAUGACAUUGUUAUGUUUAUUUUC
This is a long non-coding RNA of Cicer arietinum (chickpea), 1625 nucleotides long. RefSeq lists it as uncharacterized. NCBI's taxonomy places the organism in Eukaryota, Viridiplantae, Streptophyta, Magnoliopsida, Fabales, Fabaceae. The record is from RefSeq and is a predicted model, not a curated record.